RNAcentral lists this ribosomal RNA (509 nucleotides) under bacterium enrichment culture clone ALO1_GLFRUDD03F5DZI. RNAcentral's name for it is "bacterial SSU rRNA". It matches the Rfam family "Bacterial small subunit ribosomal RNA", at positions 9 to 517 of the family's 1533-position model. The record is from RNAcentral.
GAGUUUGAUCGUGGCUCAGGAUGAACGCUGGCGGCGUGCCUAACACAUGCAAGUCGAGCGGUAUAUAUUGGAUUGAAACUUCGGUUGAAUGAAGAUAUAGAGAGCGGCGGACGGGUGAGUAACGCGUAGGCAACCUGCCCCAUACAGAGGGAUAGCCUCGGGAAACCGGGAUUAAAACCUCAUAACGCGAGAGUAUCACAUGGUGCUUUCGCCAAAGAUUUAUCGGUAUGGGAUGGGCCUGCGUCUGAUUAGCUAGUUGGUGGGGUAACGGCCUACCAAGGCAACGAUCAGUAGCCGACCUGAGAGGGUAAUCGGCCACAUUGGAACUGAGACACGGUCCAAACUCCUACGGGAGGCAGCAGUGGGGAAUAUUGCACAAUGGGCGAAAGCCUGAUGCAGCAACGCCGCGUGAGCGAUGAAGGCCUUUGGGUCGUAAAGCUCUGUCCUUGGGGAAGAAAAAAUGACGGUACCCUUGGAGGAAGCCCCGGCUAACUACGUGCCAGCAGCCG